CUAUGAUUGACAGAGCCUGCAUGAAAAAAAAAAAACUGGUUUCACUUUCAAACAGAUGUAAUUUACCUUAAAUAAUUGUAUCUCAAUCUCUAAAUUGAACUUUAAUCACAUACAGGAGGCUCUAGCAGGGUCUAGCAAGCUAUUAACAUAGCAGGGGAUAAGAAAAUCUUAAUUAAACAGAACUUGCAAUAAAGAAAGCCUAAAUAGGGC
This is a non-coding RNA of Pelobates cultripes (western spadefoot toad), 210 nucleotides long. NCBI's taxonomy places the organism in Eukaryota, Metazoa, Chordata, Amphibia, Anura, Pelobatidae. The record is from the annotation of a GenBank genome assembly.